GAUAGAGGAAGCAGACUUGUAGCGUGUUCUGUUGUUAGCUUCUGUUUCAUAUGAGCAAAGAUGUGUUUAAAAUAUAUUUUACUGUUCUAUGUAGUUUGAUUCAUGCACUUUGAUUAUCUCAAUACAAGUUUAAGACUUACAUAUUUUAUGCUUGAAAUAAAAAAGGGUGUAACAUAUACAUAAAUAUAUAAUAGACGGGGUCCUCGGUAGAAGGCCGUUGUCUAAUGCCGAGUGCAAUGGCAUUGAGAUGGGAUUUGAGGAGCGCCGCACAAAGAUGUUCGACAACUGAGCAGGUAACGGCGCAGCUUUUACACAACUCGAAGGGAAAUGAAAAGCGUUAUGGCCACAUACAAGGGUGAGAUUUUCAGAAAAAAGAAAGUACAAAUAAAGUAUUUGACCUGACGCUAUUCA
This 411-nucleotide long non-coding RNA is filed under the name Gouania willdenowi (blunt-snouted clingfish). RNAcentral describes it as "lncRNA (ENSGWIG00000007812.1)". Lineage: Eukaryota; Metazoa; Chordata; Actinopteri; Blenniiformes; Gobiesocidae. The record is from RNAcentral.